ACUCAAGUGGCGGACGGGUGAGUAACACGUAAAAUUUGCCUUUAGGAGGGGGACAACAAUUGGAAACGAUUGCUAAUACCCCAUAUGCUUUCGAGUAAAAUGGAUUUGUCCGCCUAAAGAGAAGCUUGCGGCUGAUUAGCUUGUUGGUGAGGUAAUGGCUCACCAAGGCGACGAUCAGUAUCUGGUUUGAGAGGACGAUCAGACACACUGGAACUGAGACACGGUCCAGACUCCUACGGGAGGCAGCAGUGGGGAAUUUUCCGCAAUGGGCGAAAGCCUGACGGAGCAAUCUCGCGUGAGGGAUGACUGCCUAUGGGUUGUAAACCUCUUUUUUCAGGGAGGAAUAAAUGACGUGUACCUGAAGAAUAAGCAUCGGCUAACUCCGUGCCAGCAGCCGCGGUAAGACGGAGGAUGCAAGUGUUAUCCGGAAUCACUGGGCGUAAAGCGUCUGUAGGUGGUUUAAUAAGUCAACUGUUAAAUCUUGAAGCUCAACUUCAAAACCGCAGUCGAAACUAUUAGACUAGAGUAUAGUAGGGGUAAAGGGAAUUUCCAGUGGAGCGGUGAAAUGC
Molecule: ribosomal RNA, 569 nt
Filed under: uncultured cyanobacterium
Lineage: Bacteria; Bacillati; Cyanobacteriota
Description: bacterial SSU rRNA
Rfam family: Bacterial small subunit ribosomal RNA
Source: RNAcentral